GGAAGGCAAGAUUGCCUUUCCCUGUCUCACUGAGCCUCCCCACCCCCGCCCCAGCACACCCUCUGCUGACAGGAGACCUCACAGCAUCUUAGAUGAGGCCGAGUGCACUGAGGCAGUACCUCUGAAGUGGCAGAACGAGGGUUCUAGUUCAUCCUGGGCAGUGAGCUGAAGGAGCAUUAGUGGGGCAUCCCCUAGUGGUCUGUGCUCUGCUUCCUUUGGCCUCAGCCCUGGAGGAGAGGCCCACAAGAAAGUGCAGAGAGCCGUCAGUCUGUCUCUCCCAUGACUGCAGCCCCAGACAAGCCCUCCUUGAGUUGGAGAGACUUGGGCAAGGCAUGUUGCUGGGGCUGGUUUGGGGGCCUUUUUUAACUCUUCCUUUUUGAUUUUAGGUCACUACAGUGGGAUGCUGUCCCCUCCUCUAGGCCACAUACCCACCCACACCAGUCUAGCCCAAGUAAAUAGCGAAGGGAACACAUGCACAAAGCAGUCCUGGGUAGAAAGGGCCACAUCUAGAACCUCCAGCUCCCACCCCCAUAAACACCUCUGUCCCUGAGGGCAGGUGCACAAAUGUCUGUAAAUCCUCAAAGCCUUUACUUGUCCCAGGUUCCCACUCCUUCAGACGAGGAGGCCCCGGCCUCAUCUCCAUGGUCUCACUGUGUGCUUGGGGAGCCCUUUUCAUGGGGACCAACCCAGGACCUCCACUAACCCCUCUCUUCUCCUUUCAGCGGCCGC
Molecule: long non-coding RNA, 729 nt
Filed under: Rattus norvegicus (Norway rat)
Lineage: Eukaryota; Metazoa; Chordata; Mammalia; Rodentia; Muridae
Description: long non-coding RNA NONRATT014132
Source: RNAcentral